Molecule: ribosomal RNA, 422 nt
Filed under: uncultured bacterium
Lineage: Bacteria
Description: bacterial SSU rRNA
Rfam family: Bacterial small subunit ribosomal RNA
Source: RNAcentral
UGAGGAAUAUUGGGCAAUGCCCGAAAGGGUGACCCAGCAACGCCGCGUGGAGGAUGAAGGUCGUAAGAUUGUAAACUCCUGUUAGAGGGGAAGAAUAGUACCGGUUGGACCGGUAUAUGACUGUACCCUCAGAGAAAGCCCCGGCUAACUACGUGCCAGCAGCCGCGGUAAUACGUAGGGGGCAAGCGUUGUCCGGAUUUACUGGGUGUAAAGGGCGCGCAGGCGGAAUGGAAAGUCAGUGGUGAAAUCCUACAGCUUAACUGUAGAACUGCCUUUGAUACUUUCAUUCUUGAGUUCGGGAGAGAGAGACGGAAUUCCAGGUGUAGUGGUGAAAUACGUAGAUAUCUGGAAGAACACCAGUUGCGAAGGCGGUCUCUUGGUCCGAUACUGACGCUGAGGCGCGAAAGCGUGGGGAGCAAACA